Molecule: non-coding RNA, 380 nt
Organism: Microcebus murinus (gray mouse lemur)
Lineage: Eukaryota; Metazoa; Chordata; Mammalia; Primates; Cheirogaleidae
Source: RefSeq, a predicted model, not a curated record
AUAAAGGAAAAAAUAUUUGUGGAAUGAGCAAAGUAAAAUAUUAAAGUAACUGGAAUACAGAAGAAAGACAAAUAAUACAGCACAAGACUAUAAAAAUUUACCAGAAAUAUAGGCUCAAGUAAAACAAACCAAUGAAGGGAUUUUGCUAUGGCAUUGAAGAACAAGGAAGACAGGUGGCGACUACUUGGAUGGAAAAGUCAAUGUGAAGUGAAAUCUGGUGGAUAAGAAGACAAAUAAGAAGGGCUGGAGAGAAAGCAUCCUGGUCUAAGGAACCCGGAGAAAGAAGGCUUAGUCUGAAUGCAAAGCAGAAAUGCAAAGUGGUUAGGAAACAGCAACAAUAAAGAGAAAGUGUGAAAACAUGAAGAGUUUUGCAAUUCUUA